AAUAGAUCUGUAGAAACUGGUUUUACUUAAUAGUAAAUGAAAAGGGAAUCAUGUGAAAAUCAUGAGCUGUCGCGCAACUGUGAAUACCUUACAAAGUUUUAUCCACGAUCCACUGUGUAUACGGGAAGGAGGAUAAAAUGGUAUAAGUCAGGAGACCUGCCAAUUUCUGAACAGGCAAC
RNAcentral lists this non-coding RNA (179 nucleotides) under Elizabethkingia anophelis. Lineage: Bacteria; Pseudomonadati; Bacteroidota; Flavobacteriia; Flavobacteriales; Weeksellaceae. The record is from RNAcentral.